GGUGGGUUGGCCCAGCGGCGACGGCAACGGUCUGUAAAACCGCGACAUCGGAAACACCGCAGGUUCGAGUCCUGCACCCACCA
RNAcentral lists this transfer RNA (83 nucleotides) under Bacteriophage sp. Its description in RNAcentral is "tRNA-Tyr". It matches the Rfam family "tRNA". From Rfam's summary of the family: Transfer RNA (tRNA) molecules are approximately 80 nucleotides in length. Their secondary structure includes four short double-helical elements and three loops (D, anti-codon, and T loops). The record is from RNAcentral.